CCUACGGGAGGCAGCAGUGAGGAAUAUUGGUCAAUGGACGAGAGUCUGAACCAGCCAAGUAGCGUGAAGGAUGACUGCCCUAUGGGUUGUAAACCUCUUUUAUAAAGGAAUAAAACGAGGCACGUGUGCCUCUUUGCAUGUACCUUAUGAAUAAGGAUCGGCUAACUCCGUGCCAGCAGCCGCGGUAAUACGGAGGAUCCGAGCGUUAUCCGGAUUUAUUGGGUUUAAAGGGUGCGUAGAUGGGUUGUUAAGUCAGUUGUGAAAGUUUGCGGCUCAACCGUAAAAUUGCAGUUGAUACUGGGAGCCUUGAGUGCAGUUGAGGUAGGCGGAAUGCGUGGUGUAGCGGUGAAAUGCUUAGAUAUCACGAAGAACUCCGAUUGCGAAGGCAGCUUACUAACCCGCCACUGACAUUGAUGCUCGAAAGUGUGGGUAUCAAACAGGAUUAGAUACCCUUGUAGUC
This 460-nucleotide ribosomal RNA is filed under the name uncultured bacterium. RNAcentral's name for it is "partial 16S ribosomal RNA". It matches the Rfam family "Bacterial small subunit ribosomal RNA", at positions 338 to 795 of the family's 1533-position model. The record is from RNAcentral.